Molecule: long non-coding RNA, 1315 nt
Organism: Cyprinus carpio carpio
Lineage: Eukaryota; Metazoa; Chordata; Actinopteri; Cypriniformes; Cyprinidae
Source: Ensembl
UGUGUGUGUGUGUGUGUGUGUGUGUUUUCUUUUUUCCUGUACUUUGACAAUUUAAUAUAUCACAGACACAGUAAAUGAUUUCACUGACGCCUGUGGCAGAUGCUGUGACCCGUUUACACGGCACCUUUAUAAAGGAGGGUCAGCAGUGGUCAGAUUAGUUCAGUGCAUCUGUCAUCAGCUCGUAUAACUGUGGCCAUGGUAACAACAUAGGCGUCAACGUUAACUAAAUCUGGUUUACAUCAUGCUUAUCGACUCAUAAAGCUCACUGAGCAAAUCGCGAUUAUGUAAAACAAUAGCGCGGUUACGUUAAUUUAGGAUGAUCCCCGAUAUCUAAAAAAAAUUAGGUGAAGAAUUAGACUUAUACAAUCGCCUCGUAUGAGGUUUGAAUAAAACAGCAUCGUUAAAAACGGACGAUGGGCUCGAAAUGAGCCGGGAUAACCCCAAAUCACGCACGAAAUGCACAGAGAAGCCAAGAUCGUCGUUCAUUUGCAUGCAUCGAGACGACAGAUGACGGUCUUACCAGGGUCUUCGCCACGUUCCCCCUCUGAGUGAUGUUUUUGCUGUGCUUCUCGUUUGCCAUGCGGAUUCUUUGUUUUGCUACCAUCUUCCGACCCAGCGUCCAGCUGUCACAAACUAGUGGAAUUUAUCUGUGGUUGUCAAGUGAAUGCCUCGGUGCCUCCAGAUGUUUAGUCUGGGCGUCCCGCCGCAGGAAACAAACAAGCCAGAGAGAGAGAGCUGAUACACACUCAACCGGGAAGCAGAGGCCACUUGUCGGCCUGGUGAACCUUCAGGUAUUUCAGGUGCUAUGACUGAAGGGGAUGAACUGAACAAACUUAAGAAAUGAAACAUGCUUUGUUGACCUUAUAUUAAGCUGGAGAUGUUAGUCAAGACCACAUGUAUCUCACCAAAGUGUUUUCAGUUAUGAGUGUUGGGUUGUUGCCAAAAACAUCAGUUAGUGUUUUACUAGCAGACAGACCUUCUGAAGCAUCAAAAUCACAGGUUAUUUUUGGAAGAGGAUACUUAGUAUCUACUUCAUAUUGCACCAUGUACAGAUGUAUAAUUUAGCAGUCAGAUCAAAUGAUAAAAUAUAAAUUAAGUAAAAUGACCUGGAACCACUUCCAGUUCAUUACAAUGGAAAUAGAAGGUGAAACUGAGAGAUACAAUGCAGGAAGGUGAUAGCAACCACUGCGACUCUAACAUUGAAGAAAUGGUCAACUUUGAUCACAUGUGCCUUGAUAACCAAUCACAUUAUAGACAUCACUGAAUUGCUGAACUGAUCAAUCUGAAAUUAAUAUUUAAUGGUAAAAAAAAAUGU